RNAcentral lists this ribosomal RNA (486 nucleotides) under uncultured bacterium. RNAcentral describes it as "partial 16S ribosomal RNA". It matches the Rfam family "Bacterial small subunit ribosomal RNA", at positions 28 to 507 of the family's 1533-position model. The record is from RNAcentral.
GACGAACGCUGGCGGCGUGCUUAACACAUGCAAGUCGAACGGGAUCCUAAGGCUUUUUGUCUUUGGUGAGAGUGGCGAACGGGUGCGUAACACGUGAGUAACCUUACCUCUUCUUUUGGGUAACCGCAUGAAAGUGUGGCUAAUACAGGAUAUUCCAGGCUGGUCGCAUGAUUGGUUUGGGAAAUGGUUUGGUCUGGUGGGGGAUGGGCUCGCGGCCUAUCAGCUGGUUGGUGGGGUGAUGGCCUACGAAGGCGGUGACGGGUAGCAGGGCUGAGAGGGCGGGCGGGGACGCGAGGACGGUGAGACAGCCCAGACUCCAGCGGCAGGCAGCAGUGGGAGGUGAUGCACAAGUGGCGAAUGCCGGAUGCAGGGACGCCGCGUGAGGGAUGAAGGCCGUGGGAGUGUUAACCUCUUUCGCGGGGUUAAAAGGCCUUACCUGGGAUGUUGUUGACUGGACCUGGUAAAGAAGCACCGGCUAACUACGUG